This 467-nucleotide ribosomal RNA is filed under the name uncultured bacterium. Its description in RNAcentral is "partial 16S ribosomal RNA". It matches the Rfam family "Bacterial small subunit ribosomal RNA", at positions 28 to 507 of the family's 1533-position model. The record is from RNAcentral.
GAUGAACGCUGGCGGCGUGCUUAACACAUGCAAGUCGAACGAUGAUGCCCAGCUUGCUGGGUGGAUUAGUGGCGAACGGGUGAGUAACACGUGAGUAACCUGCCCUUGGCUCUGGGAUAAGCCUGGGAAACUGGGUCUAAUACCGGAUACGACCAUCUGGCGCAUGUCAUGGUGGUGGAAAGCUUUUGUGGUUUUGGAUGGACUCGCGGCCUAUCAGCUUGUUGGUGGGGUAAUGGCCUACCAAGGCGACGACGGGUAGCCGGCCUGAGAGGGUGACCGGCCACACUGGGACUGAGACACGGCCCAGACUCCUACGGGAGGCAGCAGUGGGGAAUAUUGCACAAUGGGCGCAAGCCUGAUGCAGAGACGCCGCGUGAGGGAUGACGGCCUUCGGGUUGUAAACCUCUUUCAGUAGGGAAGAAGCGAAAGUGACGUUACCUGCAGAAGAAGCGCCGGCUAACUACGUG